CCCAUUCACUGGGCCCAGUAAUUUUUCUCUUAGUCAUCUUUCUAAAGAAGUAAUCUAGGAUGUGACAAAACAUUUUGGGAACAGGAAUAAUCAUUACUGUGCUACUUAAAAAAUUAAAAUAACAUUUGUAAAGGAGGCAAAACUCAAUGGCUUACAACAAAAAGCUGUAUUCUCAUGCUCAUGGGUGAGCACAAGAGCCACGGCUUGGCUGAUGGGGCAGGAUAUGGAUGGCUCAACUUCAGCCUAACCUUCAGGGGGACUUGACUCUGAGCUCUAUUCUGGGUUCAGUUUUGCUCCACAGCUGUCUGGCCACAUUCUUCUCCCAGUGGAUCAGCCAUGCACUGGAGGGCAAGCUAAACCUCACAGCCCUGUGCCAAUCCUCCCCUCACAAGACUGCUGACAUCCCAUGCUCUGUGUAAGCACAGGAACAAGGGAAAAACCCACAGGGCAGGGAAGUAGACUCCACUCAUAAUGGGAGACAGGGGCAAGUAUAUAUUUGAUGAGUGAUCAUAGAAAUAACAACUGUGAUCUAGAUUUGCUUUGCAUUGGCACACAUUGUUCUUCAGUGGAGUACCAUGGAAGGGGCUUAUUGGUACAACAGCAUGGCACACAAUUUUGAAAUCAGGCAGCCCUGACUUUGAGUUCUUGCUCUGCUAUUAAUAUUAGUGGUAGCUAUUGGAAAGGUAUUUGAGAUUCAGGGAUGAAUGAAAAUCACUGUAAAUCUAGAACCCUACCCUUAUCUAAACUAUCAAUCUCUUUUUAUUGAACAGUUUCAAAUUUAUUUUUGAUAAACAAUUUUAAUAUAGUCAAACAUUUAUUAGAAGCAGAAAAGUCAUUGUAGAGCACUUGAAUUAUAUUUAAAAGUUUAGCGGUCUAAACUAGCAAUCUAAGAUGAUUGUG
This 900-nucleotide long non-coding RNA is filed under the name Homo sapiens (human). RNAcentral's name for it is "HSALNT0309678". The record is from RNAcentral. Lineage: Eukaryota; Metazoa; Chordata; Mammalia; Primates; Hominidae.